This 263-nucleotide ribosomal RNA is filed under the name uncultured bacterium. Its description in RNAcentral is "partial 16S ribosomal RNA". It matches the Rfam family "Bacterial small subunit ribosomal RNA", at positions 793 to 1055 of the family's 1533-position model. The record is from RNAcentral.
GUCCACGCCGUAAACGAUGGGUACUAGGUGUAGGAGGUGUCGACUCCUCCUGUGCCGAAGCUAACGCAUUAAGUACCCCGCCUGGGGAGUACGGCCGCAAGGCUAAAACUCAAAGGAAUUGACGGGGACCCGCACAAGCAGCGGAGCAUGUGGUUCAAUUCGACGCAACGCGAAGAACCUUACCUGGGCUUGACAUGUCGGUGACAGCCGUGGAAACACGGUCUCCCUUCGGGGCACCGUCACAGGUGGUGCAUGGCUGUCGU